This 173-nucleotide unclassified non-coding RNA is filed under the name uncultured Clavariaceae. RNAcentral describes it as "sequence contains ITS1". The record is from RNAcentral. Lineage: Eukaryota; Fungi; Basidiomycota; Agaricomycetes; Agaricales; Clavariaceae.
UUGAAUCCAAAGGAUGUUGCUGGUGCUUGUAAAAGUACAUGUGCACUCCACCUUUCAAAUCCACCUGUGCACUCAAUGUAGGCUCAGAUUAACUUCCGAGUCUAUGCUUUUUUACACACUAUAAUUAUUAUGGAAUGUCUGGGUUUUUGUUGCCCAAAAUAAUAAUAAUAAUA